CAGAAACUGUGUUUUUGCCUUGUUUUGUAUCACCAGUGCUUAUAUGCCUGACAUCCAGUAAGAACUUAACUGACUAGUAUCUACCUGGUACCAACCCCUGGAGAAACAUGGAGAUCCUGCUUCUGAGAGUGCAUGAGAGAAGGGCAGCCUUUUUCCUACACACUCAGAGCAUGUAAUGGUAUCUUCUGUUUCUUGUCAACUUAUUGUCGGGCUCAUAAACACUCUAGUUAUUAGGUGAGCUGGAAGUGAAUGUGGGUAUGAGAUACCAACAGAUGAAGGUUCAGUCUCCUUGGGUACUUUCAAGUGAGGAAAAAGAAAUGCUGUAAAACUGAGUAAGAGAGCAUUUCUCUAGCUGUUCACCACCAUGUGACUGUGAAUAUGGAACACCUCGUUUCUUCUCCUAAUGGCAGAUGAGCCAGCCUUGAGGAGUGACCUAAGGGACUGAUCCCAGAAGUGAAGCUACUCAGCUCUUGAGAUGCUAUGUCCUACAAGCAAGGGAAUAACUUGUCCAUUAUAACUAUCUCACACCUAAUGAAUUUGAUGAGAAGCAAUCAUUUAAGUUACUUGUGAUAUUCCUCAAUAAAAUCUCAUCCAAAAAUGAGAACCAUUUUUCUCAUUAAUUCUACUGAAGGAAUUUUGGAAGGAGUCCAUGGAAUAUGUUGCACCAGUCAAAUGGUUUAUAGAUGGAAAAAAAUACUUUAGAAGCAACGAUAAGAUCAUAUGGUCAGAUGAAGAACCAUUAAUUGGGGAAAGGACCAACUUUACUAAAAUGGAACCUCCUAAGGAAAUUCAAUCCAUAAAUUUUGAAAAUGGAAAAUUGCACAGUUUGUCAAACACUGUAAAACAAGAACAAAUGAUGAGCAAGGGAAGCUAUCUUGACUGCUUUUCUCCUUCAUGAGCUGGAUCACCCUAAACUCAAAGUAAGAGUUCAUCAAGUUUGGAUUCUGUUUGUAAGCUAAAUAAAAAUUACAUCUCCUGGUUGGGGGAAGUCCUAACAAAACAAUGAGGAGCACAUUCCUUGAGGGAUAGGAACAAUCUCAUCAAUCAUUCAGGACCUUUAAUGACCAACUGACCUCAGAACAGUUGGUCUUUACAGAAAACAGAAGGGAAGAGUCAUAAUGGUAUAAUGUUAAUUUCUCUUAUUCCCCUCUUUGAUUCACUCAAGAGCCACAGUCUCCUCAAUAAAUUACCAGCUGCUAUGACAAAUGCUUCAUCAUUUUUAAUCAUGAGGUUUAUGAUGACAAAUAAUGUAACAGGGAAAGGGGAAGAUGUU
RNAcentral lists this long non-coding RNA (1273 nucleotides) under Sarcophilus harrisii (Tasmanian devil). RNAcentral describes it as "lncRNA (ENSSHAG00000028614.1)". The record is from RNAcentral. Lineage: Eukaryota; Metazoa; Chordata; Mammalia; Dasyuromorphia; Dasyuridae.